GGGAUAAAUUGCACAACUGCAGUUGCCUUUUGCUGUCCAGAGACCCAGGAAGGGAGAGAGAGACAGAUUUCCCCCUCCCCAGCUCCAGCCUUUGGACCUUAGCCCAUCUUGGGAGAUUGGCCAGGAAAGCCGACGAGCCUGAAGGCAGCAGGGUUGCAGCUCGGGCUGUCUCCUCCCUUCUGCCUCCUGACGCUGCUGGAUGCUUCAGACCUAUUCCUAGCACUGCCCAGCUCCAUCCCCAGCAGGCUGUGAGUGCCUCCCGCUGCCCGGGGAGGCAGGGCAGAGCUGGAGAAGCAUCCGCCGCCGAGGCUGGGGCACCGAAAGCAAGCCGGAUUCAGACGGAUGCUGGAGGAGGACGACGAGGACGGGCUGCGGAACGGACCAAGCCCCCUCUCCAUUCUCCCCGCUGCCUCGGCUGCUCCUUCCCCGAUGGCUACAGACUGAUCGGCAGAGGAGAGGGGAGGGGAGAAAAAAAGGAGGAAGGAACAGAAAAAAAAAGAAAGAAA
This is a non-coding RNA of Chrysemys picta bellii (western painted turtle), 506 nucleotides long. Lineage: Eukaryota; Metazoa; Chordata; Testudines; Emydidae. The record is from RefSeq and is a predicted model, not a curated record.